UAGUGUGUGCCCCGCGCAGGAUGAGAACAAGGGAGGCGUAUAACAUAUAAAAGAGGGGUAAGAGUGCCUGCUCUCCUUAGACCGGCGNACGGGUGCGUAACACGUGUACAAUCUACCUUUUACUAAGGGAUAGCCCGAAGAAAUUUGGAUUAAUACCUUAUAGUAUUGUUUGAUGGCAUCAUUAAAUAAUUAAAGCUACGGUGGAAAAGAUGAGUACNCGNCCCAUUAGCUAGUUGGAGUGGUAACCGGCACACCAAGGCUACGAUGGGUAGGGGUUCUGAGAGGGAUGUCCCCCACACUGGUACUGAGACACGGACCAGACUCCUACGGGAGGCAGCAGUGAGGAAUAUUGGACAAUGGUCGGAAGACUGAUCCAGCCAUGCCGCGUGCAGGAUGACGGCCUUAUGGGUUGUAAACUGCUUUUAUACAGGAAGAAUAAGGUCUACGAGUAGAUUGAUGACGGUACUGUAUGAAUAAGCAUCGGCUAACUCCGUGCCAGCAGCCGCGGUAAUACGGAGGAUGCGAGCGUUAUCCUGGAAUCAUUGGGUUUAAAGGGUCCGUAGGCGGGCUUAUAAGUCAGAGGUGAAAGCACUGAGCUCAACUGAGUAACUGCCUUUGAAACUGUAUGUCUUNAAUAUUUGUGAAGUAGCUGGAAUGUGUAGUGUAGCGGUGAAAUGCAUAGAUAUUACACGAGAACACCGAUUGCGAAGGCAUGUUACUAACGACCUUAUUGACGCUGAUGGACGAAAGCGUGGGGAGCGAACAGGAUUAGAUACCCUGGUAGUCCACGCUGUAAACGAUGGAUACUAGCUGUUUGGUAGUCAUUUUGAGUGGCUAAGCGAAAGUGAUAAGUAUCCCACCUGGGGAGCGCGCACGCAAGUGUGAAACUCAAAGGAAUUGACGGGGGCCCGCACAAGCGGUGGAGCAUGUGGUUUAUUCGAUUGAUACGCGAGGAACCUUCCAAGGUUUA
RNAcentral lists this ribosomal RNA (970 nucleotides) under Capnocytophaga canimorsus. RNAcentral's name for it is "bacterial SSU rRNA". It matches the Rfam family "Bacterial small subunit ribosomal RNA", at positions 1 to 982 of the family's 1533-position model. Lineage: Bacteria; Pseudomonadati; Bacteroidota; Flavobacteriia; Flavobacteriales; Flavobacteriaceae. The record is from RNAcentral.